GACGGAGGAUGCAAGUGUUAUCCGGAAUCACUGGGCGUAAAGCGUCUGUAGGUGGUCAAAUAAGUCAACUGUUAAAUCUUGAGGCUUAACCUCAAAAUCGCAGUCGAAACUAUUAGACUAGAGUAUAGUAGGGGUAAAGGGAAUUUCCAGUGGAGCGGUGAGAUGCGUAGAGAUUGGAAAGAACACCGAUGGCGAAGGCACUUUACUGGGCUAUUACUAACACUCAGAGACGAAAGCUAGGGUAGCAAAUGGG
RNAcentral lists this ribosomal RNA (253 nucleotides) under uncultured bacterium. Its description in RNAcentral is "partial 16S ribosomal RNA". It matches the Rfam family "Bacterial small subunit ribosomal RNA", at positions 524 to 776 of the family's 1533-position model. The record is from RNAcentral.